CCUACGGGGGGCAGCAGUGAGGAAUAUUGCACAAUGGGCGCGAGCCUGAACCAGCCACGCAGCGUGAAGGAUGACGGCCCUCCGGGUUGUAAACUCCUUUUAUAAAGGAAUAAAGUGAGGCACGUUAGCCUUUUUGUAUGUACUUUAUGCAUAAGGAUCGGCUAACUCCGUGCCAGCAGCCGCGGGAAUACGGAGGAUCCGAGCGUUAUCCGGAUUUAUUGGGUGUAAAGGGAGCGUAGAUGGGUUGUUAAGUCAGUUGUGAAAGUUUGCGGCUCAACCGUAAAAUUGCAAUUGAUACUGGCAGUCUUGAGUGCAGUUGAGGUAGGCGGAAUUCGUGGUGUAGCGGUGAAAUGCUUAGAUAUUACGAAGAACUCCGAUGGCGAAGGCAGCUUACUAAGCUUCAACUGACAUUGAUGCUCGAAAGUGUGGGGAGCAAACAGGAUUAGAUACCCGGGUAGUC
This 460-nucleotide ribosomal RNA is filed under the name uncultured bacterium. Its description in RNAcentral is "partial 16S ribosomal RNA". It matches the Rfam family "Bacterial small subunit ribosomal RNA", at positions 338 to 795 of the family's 1533-position model. The record is from RNAcentral.